This 443-nucleotide ribosomal RNA is filed under the name uncultured bacterium. RNAcentral's name for it is "partial 16S ribosomal RNA". It matches the Rfam family "Bacterial small subunit ribosomal RNA", at positions 338 to 795 of the family's 1533-position model. The record is from RNAcentral.
CCUACGGGUGGCAGCAGUGGGGAAUAUUGGGCAAUGGGCGCAAGCCUGACCCAGCAACGCCGCGUGCAGGAAGAAGGCUUUCGGGUUGUAAACUUCUUUUAUCAGGGACGAAGCAAGUGACGGUACCUGAUGAAUAAGCCACGGCUAACUACGUGCCAGCAGCCGCGGUAAUACGUAGGUGGCAAGCGUUAUCCGGAUUUACUGGGUGUAAAGGGCGUGUAGGCGGGAAAGCAAGUCAGAUGUGAAAACCAUGGGCUCAACCUGUGGCCUGCAUUUGAAACUGUUUUUCUUGAGUACUGGGGAGGCAGACGGAAUUCCGAGUGUAGCGGUGAAAUGCGUAGAUAUUAGGAGGAACACCAGUUGCGAAGGCGGCCUGCUGGACAGCAACUGACGCUGAGGCGCGAAAGCGUGGGGAGCAAACAGGAUUAGAUACCCCGGUAGUC